This 770-nucleotide ribosomal RNA is filed under the name Staphylococcus succinus. RNAcentral describes it as "bacterial SSU rRNA". It matches the Rfam family "Bacterial small subunit ribosomal RNA", at positions 59 to 812 of the family's 1533-position model. Lineage: Bacteria; Bacillati; Bacillota; Bacilli; Caryophanales; Staphylococcaceae. The record is from RNAcentral.
CAGUCGAGCGAACGGAUAAGGAGCUUGCUCCUUUGAAGUUAGCGGCGGACGGGUGAGUAACACGUGGGUAACCUACCUAUAAGACUGGAAUAACUUCGGGAAACCGGAGCUAAUGCCGGAUAACAUAUAGAACCGCAUGGUUCUAUAGUGAAAGAUGGUUUUGCUAUCACUUAUAGAUGGACCCGCGCCGUAUUAGCUAGUUGGUAAGGUAAUGGCUUACCAAGGCGACGAUACGUAGCCGACCUGAGAGGGUGAUCGGCCACACUGGAACUGAGACACGGUCCAGACUCCUACGGGAGGCAGCAGUAGGGAAUCUUCCGCAAUGGGCGAAAGCCUGACGGAGCAACGCCGCGUGAGUGAUGAAGGUUUUCGGAUCGUAAAACUCUGUUAUUAGGGAAGAACAAAUGCGUAAGUAACUGUGCGCAUCUUGACGGUACCUAAUCAGAAAGCCACGGCUAACUACGUGCCAGCAGCCGCGGUAAUACGUAGGUGGCAAGCGUUAUCCGGAAUUAUUGGGCGUAAAGCGCGCGUAGGCGGUUUCUUAAGUCUGAUGUGAAAGCCCACGGCUCAACCGUGGAGGGUCAUUGGAAACUGGGAAACUUGAGUGCAGAAGAGGAAAGUGGAAUUCCAUGUGUAGCGGUGAAAUGCGCAGAGAUAUGGAGGAACACCAGUGGCGAACGCGACUUUCUGGUCUGUAACUGACGCUGAUGUGCGAAAGCGUGGGGAUCAAACAGGAUUAAAUACCCUGGUAGUCCACGCCGUAACGAUGA